Daphnia pulicaria is the source of this 768-nucleotide long non-coding RNA. RefSeq lists it as uncharacterized. The transcript has 7 exons. The record is from RefSeq and is a predicted model, not a curated record. Lineage: Eukaryota; Metazoa; Arthropoda; Branchiopoda; Diplostraca; Daphniidae.
ACAGAACUCAGUUUCAGACGUGCAUGAUGCUUUGCUUUAAGAAAGACCUACAUUAUUCAUUGGAAAAUCUCUGGUAGUCUAGUCUUCCCCCCGCAGUAGACACCUCUCCAAUUUCUGGUGGUAGCCAAAAAAAACCUGGUAAUGCCAAAAAGUUAUUGACAGUUUGCGUGUUGCCUAGAUGAAAACCCAAAUUUAGUCCAUUUAGACUCAACCUAUUGUUGUUGAGAAAGUAAGCUCGUCAGUCACUGUCAUCAUCUCUUUGCUGAUUCCAUCUUCUGGAUAUAGCCUAGAUCAGUAUUACCAUAUAUCAGCGUUUUCCUCAAAUGUGAAUAAGAAUGAGAAGCUUCUAUCAAGGCAUAUAUUGGUGAGCUGAAGUCUUGAGUCCAAAGAUUCAACUUUUUGCUCUCAUCUAUUUUGUGGAAAAAAGAAAUUAUGCUGCCACUGGAGGUUUCGGUGGUCAUCAUUUGAUAGAGCUCAAGUGAGUCUAAGCCGGAAGCCUACUAUGACUAAGAUUAAUUGAUUUGAGGUCAAUUCCUGGUCGCUGUUCCAUGGUUCUGAUCGAUUGGUGAAACUGCCGUGAGAUUGCUGAAUUUCAAGACUUCCAAGUUCAAAAUUCAAAUUAUGUGAAAGAAGUUAAAGUUACAACAAGUGCAUAUCUGGGCUCCCUUCUUUUCUGUGGCCCCGUUUCCCUAACUAUAACCACUAACCAACGCCCGCCGGUGGUCACUCGCCCGCUGUGAAACAAGGAGGAGGGGAGGGCUCUGGUCG